Molecule: ribosomal RNA, 1020 nt
Filed under: Dothiora maculans
Lineage: Eukaryota; Fungi; Ascomycota; Dothideomycetes; Dothideales; Dothioraceae
Description: SSU rRNA
Rfam family: Eukaryotic small subunit ribosomal RNA
Source: RNAcentral
UAUACCGUGAACUGCGAAUGGCUCAUUAAAUCAGUUAUCGUUUAUUUGAUAGUACCUUACUACUUGGAUAACCGUGGUAAUUCUAGAGCUAAUACAUGCUAAAAACCUCGACUUCGGAAGGGGUGUAUUUAUUAGAUAAAAAACCAAUGCCCUUCGGGGCUCCUUGGUGAUUCAUAAUAACUUAACGAAUCGCAUGGCCUUGUGCCGGCGAUGGUUCAUUCAAAUUUCUGCCCUAUCAACUUUCGAUGGUAGGAUAGUGGCCUACCAUGGUUUCAACGGGUAACGGGGAAUUAGGGUUCUAUUCCGGAGAGGGAGCCUGAGAAACGGCUACCACAUCCAAGGAAGGCAGCAGGCGCGCAAAUUACCCAAUCCCGACACGGGGAGGUAGUGACAAUAAAUACUGAUACAGGGCUCUUUUGGGUCUUGUAAUUGGAAUGAGUACAAUUUAAAUCCCUUAACGAGGAACAAUUGGAGGGCAAGUCUGGUGCCAGCAGCCGCGGUAAUUCCAGCUCCAAUAGCGUAUAUUAAAGUUGUUGCAGUUAAAAAGCUCGUAGUUGAACCUUGGGCCUGGCUGGCCGGUCCGCCUCACCGCGUGCACUGGUCCGGCCGGGCCUUUCCUUCUGGGGAGCCGCAUGCCCUUCACUGGGUGUGUCGGGGAACCAGGACUUUUACUUUGAAAAAAUUAGAGUGUUCAAAGCAGGCCUAUGCUCGAAUACAUUAGCAUGGAAUAAUAGAAUAGGACGUGUGGUUCUAUUUUGUUGGUUUCUAGGACCGCCGUAAUGAUUAAUAGGGAUAGUCGGGGGCAUCAGUAUUCAAUUGUCAGAGGUGAAAUUCUUGGAUUUAUUGAAGACUAACUACUGCGAAAGCAUUUGCCAAGGAUGUUUUCAUUAAUCAGUGAACGAAAGUUAGGGGAUCGAAGACGAUCAGAUACCGUCGUAGUCUUAACCAUAAACUAUGCCGACUAGGGAUCGGGUGAAAAAUCUUUUUGACUCGCUCGGCACCUUACGAGAAAUCAAAGUC